Molecule: long non-coding RNA, 1902 nt
Organism: Lolium perenne
Lineage: Eukaryota; Viridiplantae; Streptophyta; Magnoliopsida; Poales; Poaceae
Source: RefSeq, a predicted model, not a curated record
CGUGAGGGCACCAUGGUCCUCCACCACAUGUUUCCCUCCCCUUUUAUCCCCAGCGCUGCAUCCUCCCAGAAACCCUAGCAUCUUCCCUCUCUCGCGCCGCCACCAUUCUCCUCUUCAUCUCCCUCGUUUUUCUUCUUCUCUGUGAACCAACGAACAACACCACCACCUCCCCACCAUGGCGCUGCCUCUACCGACGCUCCCUCAGUGAGCUGAGACCACCAGAAGAACGGCCUCGUCGUCCUCGUCUUCCCACUGCAAGGAAUUGAACCGGAGCCCUCUAAAUCGCCGGCGAAUUUGCUGAUUCCAUCUCCAAGUCCGGCGAGCAAAUCUUCAAUUCCGGCGACGCUGGUGAACCUUUGGUGUCGGCUCCGCCACUUCCUGUUUCCCCAAGUCAAGGCGCACCUUCGACGCCCUCUUCCCCGUCCUAGUUCGUCCUGCUCCGUCCUUCCCGUGAUGGACUGCAAGCUCCGCCAUGGAUCUUUUGCCUGAGCUCCGCGUCAGCUGGGUUCUUUUGGUCACGCAUCUCACUUCCGUACAACAAGUCAUCAGCAGAGUAGUGAUCCAGCAUCUACUGGGCCUCGGCCCAGGUUCCCGCCAGCUUCUUCAAUGCCGAGCGUGCGACAGGCCUCUACCCGCUGCUCAGCAUUUGCUUCUUCCCGGAUAGGAUCACGAAGUGGUGUGGUGAGAUACGACAAGUUCUCCGGAUGUUCCUCGGCAAGCUUUAACAGGCAAGCAUUUCCCCUAUACUCCUGUCCCUGCAGGAGUCGCUCACCUAUUUUAUUUUGCCUUCUCCCUUAUGCUAUCCUUGAGUUGCGUUCUUGUCACGUGUCCCUUCCACUUGUUACCUCAAGCAGCCUAUUUUGCCACCACCACUUCCUACAGCUAUUGUUUGGUUAUCGUGUCUGUACACCGUGUUACCGUUAUUGUUAUCUUAUCGGGUUAUAUGUUGGGAAGAAUCAUGGUUACUUUAGUUGUUGAUAAUUGGUUAGCGGAGGCAUCGGUGGGUCAGCUGAUCGUUUUGUGACGGCUCACUUGUGUUUCCUAAAUAUCUUAGGACCCGAGUUCCUGUUAUCUAUUCCGAGACUGAGCGCUCUAACCACACAUGGGUAUGCUUACCGGGUCUCCCCUCGACCACUGCCGGAAUCUACAACUUUGUCUAGUGGCCACAAUUAGUUUGAAUGUUUGUUUGUUUCUCCCGGGCGUGCAAGCAUGUUUCUUUGUGGUUAGAUGAUAUGAUGUUACUUUUGGGGAAGCCAUGUUGCCUUGUAACCCCGUUGUCUCUUGCACGUCCGUACAUGCGGCACGUAUUGUUAAGAGGCCAUCCUCUAGUGGGCUCCGAUCCUCUUAGUCGUUCUCGCAACAGCUAGGUCCGUAUCAGAGUUCCGAUCGGGCUCUGAAAUGGGUUAACUUAGUUAGGUGGUUUCCUGGACAUUGUUGUCGUGAAGGAGAGUGCGUGUCGUGAUAUCCACCUGUCGUAAGUGGGUUGAUCAUGCGUGUGGGCACAUUUGGGCACCCCUGCAGGGUUACAAUCUUAUCGAUAAGCCGCGUCCGCGGUUGUGGACGACUUGGAGCUGUAUGACUCGACCAUAGACAACUUACACAUGUUGUUUCAAUACUAAUAACUUGAGUAGUAAGUUAGCCCAACUCUAAUAAUAAAUGGUAAAAACUUGUCCACUGUUUGAGUGCCAUUGUAAGUACUUCCUUGCGAGGGGGGAACAUAUUGGUUGUGUUAUGUUUGCAAAGUAUAGAACUGUUAGUUGUGCGCUCUCUCACCUUCUCUGAUAGAAGAAUGUUGUAGAGUGUCUCUGUAGGUUUUUAGUGCUUGCGCGCUGCCGCUUAACCCCACCAUAUUGCCUAUGACGUUCCUCUUGCGUCCUCAAGUACAAAGGACGACUGGUUGAC